GACGAACGCUGGCGGCACGCUUAACACAUGCAAGUCGAACGAGAGAAGAGAAGCUUGCUUUUCUGAUCUAGUGGCGGACGGGUGAGUAACACGUGAGCAAUCUGCCUUUCAGAGGGGGAUACCGAUUGGAAACGAUCGUUAAUACCGCAUAACAUAAUUGAACCGCAUGAUUUGAUUAUCAAAGAUUUAUCGCUGAAAGAUGAGCUCGCGUCUGAUUAGCUAGUUGGUAAGGUAACGGCUUACCAAGGCGACGAUCAGUAGCCGGACUGAGAGGUUGAUCGGCCACAUUGGGACUGAGACACGGCCCAGACUCCUACGGGAGGCAGAAGUGGGGAAUAAUGCACAAUGGAGGAAACUCUGAUGCAGCGAUGCCGCGUGAGGGAAGAAGGUUUUAGGAUUGUAAACCUCUGUCUUCAGGGACGAAAAAAGACGGUACCUGAGGAGGAAACUCCGGCUAACUACGU
This 464-nucleotide ribosomal RNA is filed under the name uncultured bacterium. RNAcentral's name for it is "partial 16S ribosomal RNA". It matches the Rfam family "Bacterial small subunit ribosomal RNA", at positions 28 to 506 of the family's 1533-position model. The record is from RNAcentral.